This 496-nucleotide ribosomal RNA is filed under the name uncultured bacterium. RNAcentral describes it as "partial 16S ribosomal RNA". It matches the Rfam family "Bacterial small subunit ribosomal RNA", at positions 28 to 506 of the family's 1533-position model. The record is from RNAcentral.
GAUGAACGCUGGCGGCGUGCCUAAUACAUGCAAGUCGAGCGAACGGACGAGAAGCUUGCUUUUCUGAUGUUAGCGGCGGACGGGUGAGUAACACGUGGAUAACCUACCUAUAAGACUGGGAUAACUUCGGGAAACCGGAGCUAAUACCGGAUAAUAUUUUGAACCGCAUGGUUCAAAAGUGAAAGACGGUCUUGCUGUCACUUAUAGAUGGAUCCGCGCUGCAUUAGCUAGUUGGUAAGGUAACGGCUUACCAAGGCAACGAUGCAUAGCCGACCUGAGAGGGGAAUCGCCACAACGGGACUGGAACACGGGCCCAGCCCCCUACGGGAGCAAGCGGUGGGGAAUUUUCCGCAAGGGCGAAAACCCGACGGAGGCAAGCCGCGGGGAGGAAGAAAGGUUUUGGGUUCGAAAAACCUUUUUUUAGGGAAAAAAAAUAUUUGGAAAAAACCGGGAACAUCUGACCGGAACCUAAUAAAAAAGCCACGCUAAACUCCGG